Long non-coding RNA from Rhinopithecus roxellana (golden snub-nosed monkey), 706 nucleotides. RefSeq lists it as uncharacterized. The transcript has 6 exons. NCBI's taxonomy places the organism in Eukaryota, Metazoa, Chordata, Mammalia, Primates, Cercopithecidae. The record is from RefSeq and is a predicted model, not a curated record.
UCUUCCUGCAGCAGUUCCAGCAGCCGGGCAUUUAUGUCUUUCGUCUGAGCAGCAACCGACAUCGGAAGAUGAUUCAGUGUCACAGCCUGAGCUGGGCUCGGAAGGCUGCUCCCCACCCCACCUUCAGGAGACAUCAGCAAGAAUACAACCUCGAUGCCUACACUUCCCUAAGAACUGGGAUAAUGUCAAUGAGGAGAGGCCAAUCUCACCAAGACUCUGAUGCCCCAAGGGUUGAGGGGGGUCCUGGUGGGAGCUGGGAGGCUGAGGAGCAGUAGACCUGGAGUGGUUUGACACAGAGGCCUUCUUUGGAAUCCUCCUCAGGCAGUCUCUGUCAGUGACAGCCAAACUCAGCCAGACCAAGGAAGAGCUCAAACUCCUCUACCUUAAACUUCUGCGUGAAGCCCGUUCUCUGCAGCAGAUGUGGGGAGCAAGGCGCUGCCUCCCAGCCUCCACUAACCGGCUUCUGGGGAGCGUGCAGAGGGAGCAGCAGCAGGGCAGUUCCCCAGCUGGACACUGUGCUGGGCCACCUGUCCCAGGUCGUGCUGCAGGAGGGCCACCGCCUGAGGGCCUGGGGCAUUCUGGGCACUGGCACUGGGGUGGAGCUACUGCGGCCAGCCCCAGCAGGCCCUCCUGGUGCUGAUGACAUCAGUGUGAAUUCCGUCACCAAGUUGAUGGUCCCUGGCCCCAACUGCUUGAUGCUUCCAGC